UUCAGACAUAUGCUUGUCA
RNAcentral lists this small nuclear RNA (19 nucleotides) under Arabidopsis thaliana (thale cress). RNAcentral's name for it is "snRNA_02358". The record is from RNAcentral. Lineage: Eukaryota; Viridiplantae; Streptophyta; Magnoliopsida; Brassicales; Brassicaceae.